This is a non-coding RNA of Drosophila suzukii, 693 nucleotides long. The record is from RefSeq and is a predicted model, not a curated record. NCBI's taxonomy places the organism in Eukaryota, Metazoa, Arthropoda, Insecta, Diptera, Drosophilidae.
UGCUUUUUUUGUCGGUGGCAGUGCCGCUAGCUCAGUCGUCUUCAGGGCAGAGUACCCCUAAUGCCACAGCUCGCAACAUAAGUAUCGAUAACUUCGCGGUCUCACUUUACUAAUCUAUCGGUCAUCACUAAGGGCAAGAACGUAAACAAAGCAAAAAUUACAAUUAUUGUCGGGAAAAUGGAUUACAUUUGGUGGCUAUCGAUGUCCUAGCCAAGCGCUCCCACCCAACCAUGGAUGCCCUCAAGAUGCUGCAGGGCACCACCCAUUCGCAGUCGGCAGGAGCCCCUUCCUCGCGACUGCGGCUACGGUUCCAUCUCCCCCACUGGGAAAGCUUAUUCACACAUAGUGGUUUUACAAAGGUUUAAUAAAUAUGCCUCUAAGACCGAAACCUGGCCGCCGUCUCGGACAUUUACGCGGUCAAAGCAGAGGAUUUGUUUUGCUGGGAAAGGGUACAGGCGCCGCGGGAACUAUGCUCUACCAGCCAUGUAUUGGUUGAGCUCGCAUGGAAACGCGGGCCUCAAGGGAACAUGCGCGAUGCGCGGGUGUAUGGUCACGUAAUCCUGAGGAGCUCCAAGGGAAAAGAAGGGACAGGCCAAAAAGGCAAACAACGAGGACAAAUAAGGCUCUCGGGUCUAACUCCGGAUAAACUCACAAACAGGGAAGUAGAUAUCUAUAUAUAUAUAAUCAAGGUAC